RNAcentral lists this long non-coding RNA (5595 nucleotides) under Ananas comosus (pineapple). RNAcentral's name for it is "long non-coding RNA (ACOM_LNC026634)". Lineage: Eukaryota; Viridiplantae; Streptophyta; Magnoliopsida; Poales; Bromeliaceae. The record is from RNAcentral.
UCCCGCACCGGCUCUACACUGCUCGUUUCAAGUCUCUUCGGCAUAUCAGAUUCAGCUUUACUACUACGUCUUGUUCCACCAAAAGCAUGCAUCUGACAAUUCUUGGAACUAGUAUGAGGGAGCAUUUUCAUGAGCUAGCACAAAUUACCAAUUGGUAAUGAACUUAAAGGGCCCUUUUGGUUCACGGUUUGUAAUAUUCUAGUAAUCCUCCAUAUUUUCUAUUGAAAAUAUUCAAAUCAUUACCAUAUAACUCAAGUUAGGUAGUUGUAAAAGGUGUUAGUGAAGUAGUCGAAUGUUGAUUUUUAGGUGAUAGGAAUAAUAGAUUAUCAUGGGUUAGGAGAUAUUCUCAUUUCCAUGCUUGAUGGGAAUCACUAGUAGUUUGUUAAUAAGAAUAUACUAGUUUGUUAGCAACAUCCCAAUCCAUGUGGCUGGCUUAGUAAGAAACUUGCCAUUCCAAAUAUAAAAUAUAUAACAAUCCCAGAAUAUUACAAACCUUGAACCAAACAGCCCCUAAGUGUCAUAUUAAGUGAUCAUGCAUAGUAUCAUGCUUGCAAUAGAGAUAUUUAUAUUGCGUAAUUUUGGGAUAACAAACAAAUAGCAGUGAGCAAAUUCGGUAACUGCAAUGCAAUGAAAGCAACAAAUUAAUAGCAAUAAUAACAGGCAUCUAACUCAUUUUAAACUAAGAUAAAUUGAAUAUACUAGUUAGUGUGAUGAGUACAGCAGUUUGUGUUAUCAGCGGGUAUAAGCAACCAACACUUGCUUGUGGCAUCCAAGAACAAACUGAUAAACCAGAAUGGAAGAACUUAGAGAUAAGCCCUGAAAAACUAUUUCUGCUCUUCUUGAAUAUAAAUAGAAAACAUUUCCUUUGCUCAGUGUUUCAGUGCCCAACUUGUUGACAGUUUCAUCCAAUAUAGGUCAGCCUAGAGCCCAUCACUUCGUUUCAUAGUUAGGCUCAUGAUCAAACUAUCCAAAAAGAAAGGACUAAACCGAAAGUAAUUUAGGCCUUAUUUUUUUAUGCUGAUGUUUUUUGAACUUUUAAACUCAAAUUCCAUGUGAUUUGAUUGCGGGCAAGUGGAUGCUUAUUGUAAUCUAUACAUCUGUUAGCAGAGACGAAGCUAGGACUCAACUAUAAGGGGGGCCAAAAUACAUACAAAUCAAAACUUCAGCAAAUAAAUAAGAUUUAUCUAAUCAAAUUUUUUAUGAGAAAAUAUGCUAACUAAAUAAUUAGUGUAAAAAAAAAUAUUACCCCUUUUUCUAUUUAUGCUUACUUAACUUUUAAUUGUUUUAUUUAUAUUAUUUCACUCAAAUAACUUUGAAAUUUACUAAAUCUAAUAGUAAUUCAGUUAGUGAUCUAAUUUCUUAAUUUUUAGUAAAUACAAUUAUGACAAGUGAUGACUACUAGUUGAUAGAGCUAUUAAAUUUAAUAUAAUCUUUAAUUUAAUUAAAUUAAAAGAUUAUCUAAAAUAAUUAUAAUUUAUGAAGGUACUAAACAAAAAAAAAAAAAAGUAAAUUCAUAGUUGAGAGAGCACUAUGUUAACACCAAGAAUUUUUUUAAAAGAUAGGUCAGUUGAUAUACUUUUGAGCAAGGUUUUAAGUACCGCCCCGUGCCGUACGGCACGGGACGUGCCGUACAGUACAGGAGGGGUAUCGCAUCCCCCCUGCGUCUCGCGGCNUGUCACACCGCGAAACUUUCGGUGAAUCAGGGAAACAAAAAUCGAUUUUCUAAACAAAUUUUGAUCAAUAUAUUUUUUUAAAGAAAAAAAAAAUGAAUGUAAUUGCGGUACUAUUCUAGUUGUUCUAGUAAUUAUAUAUUUCCUAAUCGAAUCAAUAUAUAGAAACAAAAGAAUAGUUGUACUUUUCAAAUAAAAACAAAAGAAUUUUAAUUUCUAUUCUACAUCAGGUAUAGUUGUACUUUAUAUACAAAAUGAUUACAUGCAUGUUAAUUGAUGAGUAUAGUAAGCUAUACAUUGCAAAUAUUAAUAAUUAUUUGUUUAAAUCUUUCAAAAUAACAUUAUAAAACUUAUUGGAACAAAAAAAAACUUAAAUAAGUCCGUGCCAAAGCGUGCCAGUAGGAGGUCAUGCGUAUCCAUCGGCACGCACACAUACCACGUGUCGGCACGGAAGCGUACCCCUGCCGUACCGUGCCAGGGAAAGAAUGGCACGCCCCCGUGCCACGACACUUUAAACCUUGCUUUUGAGAUUAGCUAAAAGUAUAUCUUUAAGAAUUUUAUAUAUAGGGGACUAUUAUGCAAUUAUGAAAAGUCUAGGGGAACCAUACCACCCCCCCCAAGUGUUCACAUAGCUUCCGUCUUUGUCUGUUAGUUUCAUAUUGCAACAACAAAAAUAAAAAUAAAAAAAAAAUAAAAACUAGGUAAAUAGCUUUUUCGUUUUUCUUUUUUUUUCUCCACAAACAUUGUUCUUUUCUUUUUCUCCACAGACGUUUUUCUUUAAACUAAUUGCUAAAGUGAUACUGUCAAACUCUUCAAUAUUCAAAGCAUUAUUUAAUGAGUUCAUUUGUGGUGUAAUUAACUUCAAAUGAAUCAUUAAUCCUUCUGAUUAUGACGCAGGAUUCUGAAGAAUUAAAUCAAUUUCAUAGAUAAUGUAUUAACACUAGGAUAUUACGAUCUAAGUGUUCCCACGAAAAACUUUACUGCCCAUGAGACAGUUACUAAGCAUUAUAGAUAUCUUGAAACUACCAAGGGAUUUUCCAUAUUGUUAACAAAAUCGGCGAUCUUUUCUUCACAAUGAUCCACUAAACAACUCGGUCAUUCUAGUACCACAAAGUUAAAAAUAAGAUUCCAACUUUGUACUUAUCAAGCAUCAAAUUUUGAACUCAAAGUCUACCAAACAUCUCUAUGUCACAAAACAAUCAGCUAAUGACACACCAUUGUAACAUCUACAAAAUUCAGUAAUAAAGAGCAUUACAGAUCCGGUUGCAAAUCAAUCAAUACACAGGCUUUGAAAAAUUUUAAGCAAUUUGCUUUCUUAAUGGUAGCUAUCAGCAUCACACACACAUUUGUUGUUCUUAGUAACCAGCUAUCAUCAGUUGCUGAUCUCUUUCAUACCGGGCCUAGUUCAUUACCUAAAUUUGGCAUGGAUUGAAGUAAAAGUUGAUUGUUGAAGAGCCUUUUUGGAACCAUUUGUCCUUUUCCUUCAGAUGACAAGGGGAUGACCCAAAAAGAAUAUAUUUAUGAAGAUAUAAUGCUUACAAUAAAAUGUUGUUAAAGAUAGACAACUCAUUUGUAAAGGUUGAUGGCUUGUUUCCGCUAGGGGCCCUCUUUUCCCUCUACCAUAUUUUUUUCAGGUCUCCUCUGUUUCUUAUAUCAAUUUUCUAUCUCUACUUUAUCAAACCUUACCCUUUUAUCUUAGUUAUUAAACUGAAUUAUCUGCUAAAAUACAGGUUUCAGCAUCACCAGGCAUCAUGUAUGUAGUUUGAAACAUCUGAAUAACUUCAUGGCAUAAAGAAUCACUUCUAACAAAGCACCAAAGCCAUUUCCACUCUUCAUUGAUCUUUAUCAAAAUUAAGCACAUAGUAAGAGAGACUACUACCGACACGAUUUCCCAAUUUUCAGUAUGCAAUGCAUCAAUGCAGUGAGAAAGAUUGAGAAAAUAUAAAUCUUCCCGCUACCCACAAAAAUACAUAGUAAGAAGGCGCGCAUUGUUGUUGCAGGAAAUGUAUUAGGCAAACUGAGGACCUUCUCACAGCUCAUUUUGCGAGUUCAAGAAAGAAGAUGAUGGAUCCAAAGCUCCAACCAGCAGCCAUAGUUAAAAGCAUUUUCACCAUAAUUCCAUAGCCAUUUCUAACCCCAUCAAGUUGUGGAAAUGUGAUUUUCAUUUUCUUUUUUCUUUUUCCUUUCCAGAAGAGAGACAUGUGUUUGUUCUUACGCAGUAUAUUGUCUAAAGCCUCAGAUGCACUCACAACAUUGCAAAAGUGCCGUGAAAAUGGAUUUUGUUUGUAAAGCAAUGCAAAUUCUAAUUAUUUGACAAAACAGAACAAUGCAGUGAGUAAAAAAGCCCAAGUAAUUCUUCAUGUACCCCAUAAGGCACCUCAAAAUAUUGUUGAUGAGUUAACAACACACACAUAACAAUUGAUUAGUUUUAGCUUUUUAGAGUUGGUGUCCUAUCAGGCUAAUACCAAUCCCUAGUUCCUAUGCAUGCAAUGCUGUUCAUCAAUAAUAUUCUAAAGGAUCUGUGGGCCACAAAAAGCAUUACUCAAAAGCAAACAAAUUCUAUCUCAUUCUUAAUAUCUUUAAGACAUGAAAUCAGAUGCAGAGAGAGCUCUGAAGAACGACAAGAAGCAGUACAGGUCCAUGCCGUCAGUCAAAGAAUUAAUUAUCCUUUUCCCCAACUUUGGUAGAAAUUUGUAGUUAGCUAUCAUAAGAUGCUCAAGAACAUACACGUUUCCAUUUUGGUUCAUCUCUUUUCAAAUCUCUUUUUUGGUACAUCAAACAAGCAGAAAAACAAGAGAGUGCAAUCCCAAACAAAAUCUUUGCACCAACGACGCCCUUCUCUCAUGUUAGGGCUAGUUUGGCCCUUUUCCUGCUAUGUUGAACGUAAAUAUUAAAAACACCACUAUGUAGUAUCUUAAGUUAUUUGAAUAUAACAAUUGUUUCACAUUAUUUCACAAUAGUAUCAGAGCAAGAAAGAGAAACAGAAUUCGAAUCCCAUCAGGUCGCUAUUCUCAUUGCAUUCAAGUCCACGUCUUGGGUCUGUGACUGUGAAUAACUCUUGAGCCCAGACAUGAGGAUGAGUGCUGGAUAUAGGUAUUAAAAGCAUUAUUCUCUAGUAGAUUAAGCUUUUGGAGGAUGACUGUUGUUUCGCAUCAUUUAAUAAGAACGGCAUUUAAAUAUUAUAUAUUCAGCAUGCUUCGGCUUUCAGCAGCACAACCUUUGGCAGUGUGUUCGGCAAAUCAACGAUCAGGAGCUGAGCCGUAAAGGCACAGACUCUAAUUUCGUGCUUGUGAUUUUACUGCGGAAAGAAUCUAUUGAGAAACUAUUCGGACAACACUUUGUACUAGUAUGGCGAUGCUUUUUUUUGUCUUAUAGAUUGUCUUCAGCAUGCUCUGAUCUAGCGUUCGGCAAAAGCCGUAACCUCAACAAGAGUAUAAACUCUAAUUUAGUGCUUCUGAUUCCGCUGUAAAAGAAAGAAAGAAAGAAAGAAAGAAAGAAAGAAAGAAAGAAUCAGGCAGGCAGGGAACUGCUUUCUGAUAACAGUUGAUCAUCAGACAGGCUCAGCACUCUACAAUGCGGGUUCGAACAAGCUAAGCUCUCUAUCCCUCCUACUACUAGUACUACCUCUUUCUCUGCAUACUGAUGAUCAGUCUCGCUCGCAGCAAUCACCAAACAAGAAUGAAAGAAAGAACCCGAUCGAGCCUGAGCCUGAGCCUAAGCCUAAGCCUAAGCCUAAGCUACGAUCCGAGAAUGGGGGACACUACAAUAAUAUUCGGAAGCAAAAACCGCAGGAAUGGAAAGGAUGGAGAAGGAAAGCACCUGAGCACCUGCUCCGGUGCCUGCCGUGGUGAGAUGGGUUCCGGGUGGAAGGAGAGGGCGCCCGCCGAGGGAUAGAUAAAGAAAAAAAAAGGUCGAUGAUGCCGUC